This 187-nucleotide ribosomal RNA is filed under the name Simulium sirbanum. RNAcentral's name for it is "partial 28S ribosomal RNA". Lineage: Eukaryota; Metazoa; Arthropoda; Insecta; Diptera; Simuliidae. The record is from RNAcentral. RNAcentral also lists the same sequence under 3 other names.
CUGCUCUAAGAUUAUACCAUUGACUUGCUAAUAAGAAGGAGUAAAAUUCUUACAAAUGAAACUUCACAUUAGCUUGUUCGAACUAUGAAUUACGGCGUAGGGACCUGUUGCCGCAAGCAUACGACUUGACUUAGGCAAGGAGCUUUAAGUAGCAGAGAAGAUUUCACUUCGAUCUAUUAUGACUCCC